Molecule: ribosomal RNA, 683 nt
Filed under: Mucor mucedo
Lineage: Eukaryota; Fungi; Mucoromycota; Mucoromycetes; Mucorales; Mucoraceae
Description: eukaryotic LSU rRNA
Rfam family: Eukaryotic large subunit ribosomal RNA
Source: RNAcentral
UAACAAUGAUUUCCCUAGUAACGGCGAGUGAAGAGGAAAGAGCUCAAAGUUGGAACCUGUUUGGCUUAGCUAAACCGGAUUGUAAACUGUAGAAGUGUUUUCCUGACACGCCUGGUAAAAAAGUCCUUUGGAACAGGGCAUCAUAGAGGGUGAGAAUCCCGUCUUUGGCCAGAGCUGUUGUCUUUUGUGAUACAUUUUCAAAGAGUCAGGUUGUUUGGGAAUGCAGCCUAAAUUGGGUGGUAAAUCUCACCUAAAGCUAAAUAUUUGCGAGAGACCGAUAGCGAACAAGUACCGUGAGGGAAAGAUGAAAAGAACUUUGAAAAGAGAGUUAAACAGUAUGUGAAAUUGUUAAAAGGGAACCGGUUGGAGCCAGACUGGCUUGAUCGUAAUCAAUCUAAGCUUCGGCUUGGAUGCACUUGCGGUCUUUGCCUGCCAACGACAAUUUUUUCUGGGGGAAAAAACUAAUGUGAAACGUAGCCCAUCUCGGUGGGUGUUAUAGUCCGUUAGAAAAUACCCUGGAUUGGAUUGAGGAACGCAGUGAAUGCUCUUUAGGGCAAGAUUGCUGGGUGCUUUCGCUAAUACAUGCUAAAAUUUCUGCCUUGGGUGGUGUUAGUGUGUAAAGGAGGAACUCGCCUAGUAUAUUUUUUAUUCGCUUAGGUUGUUGGCUUAAUGACUCUAAAUGA